UAAGAUGUAUCUGGUGGUGGUGAGCUGAAAAGAUCCUGGCUUUAAUGGUAUCGCAAAAGGCUUGGCUGGAGGCCCAAACUUCCCAGUUAUUUUACAGGGCUUUGAAAAGCUGAAGUACUUCUGCAAUACGCGUGUGAAUCUGGGAGGGGAAUCUGUUGAAUAAAAUCAUAAUUAACAGAUCCUCCAGUAUUUUUAGCACUCCUAUAUAUUCCCAGUACUCGUA
Octopus sinensis (East Asian common octopus) is the source of this 223-nucleotide long non-coding RNA. RefSeq lists it as uncharacterized. The transcript is spliced from 3 exons. The record is from RefSeq and is a predicted model, not a curated record. NCBI's taxonomy places the organism in Eukaryota, Metazoa, Mollusca, Cephalopoda, Octopoda, Octopodidae.